This is a long non-coding RNA of Eupeodes corollae, 1112 nucleotides long. RefSeq lists it as uncharacterized. The record is from RefSeq and is a predicted model, not a curated record. NCBI's taxonomy places the organism in Eukaryota, Metazoa, Arthropoda, Insecta, Diptera, Syrphidae. The transcript has 3 exons.
CUGAAUGUGAGAAUGGGUUUGGUUUUUGCAUCAUUUCACGCACACUUCCUCACAUUUAAUAUGCAGUGAGCUUGUUGGCAAACCGAAAUGUCAGUCCAAGAUUACCAUCUUGUUAAAUAGAGUAUUUUUGGUUUGAACCAAUAUACCGCGUUUACAAGGAGAAUUGAAUCCGAAUUGAAUCAGGAUUGAGCGCCGUAUAGACCUGGAUCGGAUCGAAAUAGGAUUACUCGAUCCAAUCCCACUGAAAGAGGUGAAUCGAAUCGAAAAUUUGUUUGUAAACCCGAAUCGGGGAAUCGAUUUAUUGGUGUGUGAGGUUUUGCUUGUGUGCGUGCGAUAAGUUUAUUCCCUCUUGUUUGUUCUAAGCAAAAUUACUUCAUUUAAAUGGAGUAUUUUAGGUUCUAAGCUGUAUUUAAUUUGGCGCUCGUCUUUAUGUUGAGAACAUUGUUAUAAAAUUUGAUAUUUAUUUGAAAUUUAUUCACGUAGCAGUACGCACACAAAUAAAACCCAAAUGCCAUUUCGAUUCCAUUUGAAUUCGAUUCCUCGAUUCAGUGCCACCAUAUACCUGGAUCGAAAUCUCAAUUCGAUUCGAUUCGAUUCCUCGAUCUCAUCUCGUAACCAGGGUAAUAAAGAAAUAUAUCUACCAAGAGAAAGGACCGGUACCCCUCUUGCUUGAAACACCAUCAAAUUUUAUUUGAGGUGAACUCUCUCAAAUGUGCGUGGUUAAAAAAAAGGCAAAAUGUCAUAUUGAGUUCUUGUCAAAAAAUACAGUUGCACAAUUUCGAAUUCAAAAACAUUCAAUUUGAGAAUCUACAAAUCAAAAACCUUAACGAUCAAGAGCUACAAAAGCAUUUAAUUGAAAAAACGACAGACCAGGAACCAGAAGAAAACAAUGAGACGUAUUCUACUCGGAUCCCAAGUAGCUAUGGAUUGCUCCAAUAAUAUAAUUUACUACCAACUCAAGAAGAUAUUCAUAAGAAUAAAAAUCGACUUUAUUAGCAUCUCCCUAGUGUUUUCAUUUCGUUUGCUGCCGUUUACAAACCAUUAUACAGAAAGAAAUUUCUCUCAAGAAAUUUGGAUCGUUUGCUGAAAACAAGGGUAUUAGGCCCCAGGUG